Non-coding RNA from Vicia faba (fava bean), 231 nucleotides. Lineage: Eukaryota; Viridiplantae; Streptophyta; Magnoliopsida; Fabales; Fabaceae. The record is from the annotation of a GenBank genome assembly.
AUGUCUGAGAACUGUCAUUUUGCUCCGGUUUCUCAUUUCACAUCUCCUCGUAUUUUCUUCAAUUUCAAUCUCGAUCCAGGUUCCGCAUCUCUUCAGACUUCAGAUGAUCCAACUCUCAUCACUGAUGAGUAUUUACUUCAUUUUUUUUCUCUAUUUGUUCUUAGAUUUCAGUUCUAUCUUCUCUUUAGAGUGGAUUUAUUCAUAAUUAUCUACUAUGUAGAUUUUUGUUAG